UCAAUACAUUUGUUGUGAAAA
Molecule: non-coding RNA, 21 nt
Organism: Caenorhabditis elegans
Lineage: Eukaryota; Metazoa; Nematoda; Chromadorea; Rhabditida; Rhabditidae
Source: Ensembl